AUACCAUGAUGAGGACAUCUUCUGAGUAACUCCUUAAAUCUUUCCCAUGUAUAAUAUAAGCUCUCAUCUUUUAGUUGAUGGAAAGAUGUGAUCUCGUUCCUCGAUUUU
This is a small nucleolar RNA of 108 nucleotides. It matches the Rfam family "Plant small nucleolar RNA R71". Rfam says of the family: R71 is a member of the C/D box family of snoRNAs containing the C (UGAUGA) and D (CUGA) box motifs. The record is from Rfam.